GCUUCAGGGAUGCUGCUGCUACUGGCCGCGUCACCGUCACUAGGCAACGCUCCAUAACGACGAAGCCUAGCAACCGGGAGUCGCGGCUCCGCCCACUGGACCAAUCGGGUGACAGCGAGGAAGCGGUUCGCGGCUGGCUCUCAGGCGGACUCCGGAGCCGCCGAGGUAGACACGUGUGAGUGCUGGGGAGAGAGCGAUGAGAAGACGGGUCCUUGAGCUGGAUGUAAGGUGAACGCGUUCGACAGCAGGCAAGCUUUUAAAGAAAUGCUGACUUGUAGAUGCAGAUGGCUAAGGAGGAACAUUGAUGAUAUGCAUGUGCAACGUUGUGCAGACUGAAUUGGGACUUCCAGGUACAUCAUAAGAAAAAUAAAUCCAUCAACAACGUCGAAAGUAGCCUACUUCAAGAGGAAAUAUGCAGAAGAAGAAAAUUUACAUCAGGAUUACCAGGGGCGUUUUCCAAAACACCUGAUAUUACCUGAAGACCGGACCUGCAUUCUUAAACUGUCACUUGAAAAGCUCCGGUUCCUGGAAGAUCCUGAAAUUUACCUGCGGAGAUCCGUGUUGAUCAAUAACUUGCUAAAGAAGAUCCACCUGGAAGCUGACAAUGAAGACUAUGAAUACUACAAAGGCAGCCCUAGCAGCAGGAAUAUAUAUACGGAUGCCAGAAAACGGGUGAAGCUCAUGGUGAAAGGUUGUUGUUCUCAAUCUCUGUAUUAUGAGCAGCUGCGUACAUAUCAUAUUGUGCCUUAUGAUGCGGAAGAAGUUAUUUACCAAAUAGGCUAUUCUAACAGUCACGUGGCACAAAACUCUCAGCUGCUAAUAUACCGGAUGAAAGACUGACAGCCAAUAGUGGCGGCUUUUCCCAGUCAACAAUGUGCUGAAGUGGAAAAAACUAUAAAAUGUGGCACCGCUUGCAAGUAAUGCUAUUGCAGAUCAAAGAUGCCGGAUGAAAUUAGUACAUUCAAGCCGUAUUUUUGGUCAUGCGUGAUUGUGCAAAAUGGCAUUGCUUUUCAUGAAAUGUAUGCAUAUAAUGCAGAUGUGUCUAUUACUAUUGCAAUUUCAGACUUUCCCAGGGGGACGCUAGGCAUUGUAUGAAAGAGUACUGCAUUUUUAGCUGUUUUUACCAGUGGGUGUUUGUUUACUGUUAGAGUACACUGUAACCAGUUUUAGCUUUACUUUCCGCAAAGUGAAGAUAGUUUUAUCACCUGGCAGUGUUCUGAAUGCUAUGAGUCUGUAUAAGCUGUUUACUGAAUAAAAACAAUUAUCAGGUUAAUAAGUUUAGAUAUAAGAAUAAUCACAUUUAACUUGACUAUUCUAAUAUGCCUCUAUUUUCUUUUCUUCAAAAGAAAACCAGAAGAUAUUUUUGUAAAAAAACAAACAAUAAAAACAAAAACAUAUUUCAAGAAAUGAAGUGUUUGACCUCCAUUGAUCUAAUGUACACUUAAUAGAUUUUAGUGCAGGAAACGCAACACGUCUUAAUUGACUCUACUAUAAAAUUGAUCUUUUUUUUCUUUUUUUUUAUUCUGUUAAAAUAUUGAAUAUAUUUUUCAACGUCCUUUAUGUGACCUAGGUGUAUAAAAGAAUAAUCUAAGAAAGAACUAUUAAUUGCCAAAGAAGAGAUACAAACAAGAUACCAAAGACAUUUGGGAUUUCAGCAACCAUGAAAAUAAAACCAGGGAAUGUUAAUAGUAGGGAUACACAUAAAAACGCAUUAAGACACAGCUAGGAAGCAUUGUUGUAAUUCGUCUUGAAGAGCACUGCCAAACUUAUUUGAUUGCAGUUUGCAUUGUUAGUGAAUAAGGAACAAAACACGUGAGGUUUCAACUUGUACCAAUGUUCAUGUUGUAAUGCUAAAAUAUAUAUACAUUUUUGUUUUCAGGUUCAUUUGUUGGCAUAUUCUUUCUGUACAUGCUGACCUGGUGAAACUAUUAAAAUGAUUUAUGUCAAAAA
Pseudophryne corroboree (corroboree frog) is the source of this 1950-nucleotide long non-coding RNA. RefSeq lists it as uncharacterized. Lineage: Eukaryota; Metazoa; Chordata; Amphibia; Anura; Myobatrachidae. The record is from RefSeq and is a predicted model, not a curated record. The transcript has 4 exons.